Phacochoerus africanus (Common warthog) is the source of this 2162-nucleotide long non-coding RNA. RefSeq lists it as uncharacterized. The record is from RefSeq and is a predicted model, not a curated record. The transcript is spliced from 2 exons. Lineage: Eukaryota; Metazoa; Chordata; Mammalia; Artiodactyla; Suidae.
CAUCUGGCGUUGCUGUGGCUGUGGCAUAGGCUGUGGCAUAGGUUCCCCUAGCCUGGGAACCUCCAUAUGUGGCAGGUGCGGCCCUAAAAAGCCAAAAACAAAACAAAACAAAACAAAAAACGCUAUGCUAUAAAACUUGACUAACCACAUUUUUUAUAAUCAAUAUUUCAUAGUGCUACUGCAAAUUAAUAUUUUCAAAAUGCAUUAUAGAAUGGUUACACAUUUUACAUUUUUAUUAUUCUUUUGCUAAUAAGUCUAGGUAAAAAUAUCUUAUUUACGUAAGAAAAAAAAGCUCAAUCAUAUUCCUAUGAAAGUCAUCUACUGGAAAAACACCUAAAAAUUUAAAUACUAAGUUGUCAACAUUUAUGUUCCUAUUCUGGCAUAUCCCAUGAAAUAAUCCUCAUCUACAUUUUAGCCAGCCUAAGAAGGGGUUAUGUUAUAUACUAAAUACAAAAACAUUACAAACUAUGCAAAACAUAUAGACACAAAGAUGAUAAAGGAAUUUUUGGCUGUUAACUUUGUCAAAGCUUUGACAACAUGCACACUUAUCAAUACUACUCAUGUGCAGAUAUGCCAGGAACCCCUCCCAGGCUGGCACUAAGUGUUCCACUGAUGAAAUGCUUCCCUUUACAGAUGCAUCUGACUUCCUAAAACGGCCGCACUGAUUGACAUUAAAAGGAGGUGUGGCCAGUGGACUGCUUCUUGGAUAAUCUCUAAGAAUACUGUUCAGCACCAAAAUGAAGAGCUAUCAAGGCAUGAAAAGACAAGGAGGGACCAUGAAUGCACAUUCCUAGGUGAAAGAAACCAAUCUGAAAGGGUGUUAUGAUUCGACCCUCCGAAAGGCAGCAUCAUGAGACAGAGUUCCGUGGUUGCCAAGAAUCAGCAGGGAUGGAGGGAGGAAGGUACAGAGCACAAAGGUACAGAGUAUUCUGCGUGAUCACCAGCUCUGGCCGAGGUCACCACACACUUGACCAAAGCAAACAGAGGGAAGAACAGAGAACACCACCAAGAGUGAACCCAGAUGUAACUAUGGAUGUGGGGUGGCAACAGUGUGUCCACCCACCCUGCCACUGUGGUGAGGGUAUUGGCGUGUGGGAACUGUGCCAGGGGAGAGGGGAACUGGGGGGCGGGGAUCACUGAGACAGAAACUGUAUCUUUCAUUCAAUUUUGCUGUGAACCUGUAACAGCUCUGAAAAACAAAAUUCACUAAUUUUAAAAAACUGAUCCUCUUUUACUUUGGUUUAUUACUUUCUAUUCUUUCAUUCAUUGCUAUUGUUCUUAUCCAACGAAUACUGAAGUAAGUACAUAAAAGCUCUCUGCGAAUUACUAUAUAAUUUGUAGUAAAAUUAAAGAUGGUACAAGGGUUUAAAGACUCUAAGCCAUUAAAUGCAGCAAGCUAUUUCACACUCAUCUGAAAUCUCAAACGAAAAAGCAGGGGACGCCCAAGGAGCUCACAGUUACUUUGGGAACACACCAUUUCUGACACUACAGAAUGCUCUCGGGGCUGACAGGACAAUCUCCACUCACUGUGAUAGGAAACUGACAAAAACCACUGUUUCUUAAAAGCUUAUUCUGUGUAGGUUUGGCAACCACAGGCUCCUCAUAACAGACAGAUAGGUGCAGGGAUUGUCUGAUGCUAAAACCCACAAAAAGCAAAAAACAAACAAACCAACCAAAACACCCAAGUAUGACCUAUCAUAGAAAAUGAAAAACAAAACAAAAACAGCCUAAGACUUUAGUGGCUAGGUUAGGAAUAUUUUUUAAAUCCAAUUAGUACUAAAACACGAUGUUCCCCCACCCCCUGACCCCAGGCAGCUAGCUUUCUGCUUGGAACACAGCCUUCUAAUGGAAAUACCCAUAUGACCUGCAUCUCCUUAAAGAAGGUCAUCCUGAUAUAGGCUGUAGCCCUCUUAUUUCUCCAAUCCAGCAUUUGUCAAUACCAACUAUUUCUUUCCUUUUCUGCUGUUUUCAAAAUGAAAAACCCCUGCUCAAAUCCUACUAUGGUUAUUCCAUAAAAACUAACAACAACAACAAAAAAAGACAAAAAAGAAAUCAUUCUUUCAGAUACACCUGCAAAUCCUAUCACUCAGUGCUCCGAUGUCAUAUUAACAGCUUAUUAUUCUUGAGGGUGAAUAUUUCGAAUAAAAGCUUCUUAAAAUCAA